Uranotaenia lowii is the source of this 2994-nucleotide long non-coding RNA. RefSeq lists it as uncharacterized. The record is from RefSeq and is a predicted model, not a curated record. The transcript has 3 exons. NCBI's taxonomy places the organism in Eukaryota, Metazoa, Arthropoda, Insecta, Diptera, Culicidae.
AUAACAACUAUAAGUGUAAAAAGGCCCACCUACAGGAGGUUCUGAAGUGCCCAUUCUAAGACUCUUAAACAAUAAUAUGGGCUUAAAACAGUUUUAAUCAAGGCUUGCUCUAGAUCUCUCUAGAUAAUCAUGUUCUUUCUGCACUGAACAAAAGGUUCGUAAUUUUUUUUUAUCCGGAAAAGAGUUUUACAAUGGCAAUAAUUAAAAUCAAAUAAUCUUACCGAAUCAAAAACUAAUUGAAUGAUUUUUUUUCAACCACGACCCAAAAAUAACCUUUCAUAUACAUUCUAAACAUCACAAUCGAUAUUUUUGGUAACGUUAUGGAUAAAUAUGUUGCGCUUUUAAUUUGAUCGAUUAGUUUUUCGAGAAACUUAUAUAUAAACUGCGCGCCCUUGUAAAUUUCAAAAAUAGAAGAUUUUAUGAGAUAUUUUAUGGAAUAAUAAAUUGUUCAAAUUUAUUUCAGCUAUUGUAUUCUAGUUUGCUACGUCAAUAUUUAAUCAAAUAUCCAAUUAAAAUAAUUUAACUAGGCGCAAUUGAUGGUAAAUAAUGGUUUUUAUUAUAAUAUUCGAUGAGAAAUCACAUUUAAACUUUCAUGAUUUCAUUUAAAAAUGGCGAUUCCUUGAAAUCAUCUCUUUGACUUGACGAAAUCUGCUAUGAAUCUAACAACUCUGGAUAAAUGUCAUUUCAAGUACAAAUGUUCUUCCAAAAAACAGUUUGGCACCUUAUAGAACCAAACGAUCUUUUGACGGAUCUUUAUAAGGGUUCUUAUUUCAGUGCAGCUGACGGUGCGACAAAAAAGAAAACAAAAUAAUCAAGAUAAACGAAAACUGCAAAAUUGCGAUCAAAAAAUAUUUUAUUUAUCGGUCUCGUAACUGAAAGAUUCGAGUACCUUAUUCUACGGUUUGGUGAUCUGGAGAAGUGGAGAAGGAUUUUGCCCAGCCAUCGAUCGGGAUCAUAGCACAAAAGUUGCAGGAAUGUUUCUGAAUUGCGAGGUUUUUCCGCUAAAUUGUAUCCGGAACAGAAUGUCAUCAUUUGUUGCGAAAAGAAAACGUCCGCCGGAAUUCUAAAACCAGCUGGGAAAUCACUACCCGCAUAAAUGAGGAUUGUAUCCAAACGAUUUCCUAAAUAGUCAAUCGACGAUUUGAUAAAGCGUAAAAAAACGUUUAGUAAACGAUUAUUUAAACCGUGAGAUUAAUUGGCUGAAUCGUGAAUUCCAAAUUCACAGUGUUUUUAAUAUGUCGUUAGGUUAUGUAAUUGUUAAAAACCGUUAAAACAUUUGUAUGGGAGAACUUUUCUUCAAACCGUUUGGUAAAGGUUGAAGAACCGAUUGUGCGUAGCAUAUUUAGAACAUCGAACUGUAGUUGUUAAAGUUAUUUUAUAGAGCUUUCAUACCUAACACGUUUACAUUAAUAGUUCUGUUACGAUUUGACUUUUACUUCAAUCAAACGUUAUGCAAACAGUUUUGGGAACCGUUCGUGAAAAGAGCACGCACACAAACGCAAAUAUUUUUCGUAACGCAUAUAAGGAAUUUUUCGGAUAAGAAUUUGAAAUUAUGAAUUUCAUUUUUUUAUUGAAUAAUUUAUUAACAUUACCAACUCACUUGUUCACCUGACCAUUUUUGUUUUCCUCUUGUUGACGUUUCAACUAGCACGACCUGUUGUAAGUUACGGCACUGGUUCCGGUGUCAGCGCCAUUCCUGUGCGUAGAUGAUCGGUACAGAUUUUCGUCUGCAUCAAUGGAGUUGCCGGAAUGAACAGCAAUCUAUAAUUUCCACCAAGAAGGAAGGGUCCGAAGCUGAAGUAAUCCAUAAGUCUCCGUUUUCGUAGUGCGGAGUAUUGGGGGGUUCCAGUAGCAUAACCUGAAACAUAUAAGUAUACGGAUAAUCGGAUUUUUUUUUUAAGAAUUUUAAUUUUACAUACCUGCAUUGCAUUCAUUUAAAUUUGAAUGCCCUGGGACGCUAAUUUCACCUGCUCCAGCAGAUUCAGCUCCGAAUAUCCACGCCAAGACGCCAAUCGAUACGAAUUAUUUAGUAAAAAAAAUCAACCCGCACGCUAACUUUUGGCUACCCCUUAAAGGCGUAAAAUUGACCCGUUAUUGAGAACCUCCACGAUCUGUCAAAUAACGGGUCAUUUUUUCGGGUCAAUAUUACCCCUUAUUUCAAAAAGCUCGAAUCCGCUUCGAAGGGGUAGAUUUAGAUGUUACAUUGAAUGCGUUAUUAUUUGUCCGGUGAUAUGGAAAAUUAACAGCACAGUUCCGGACGAGAACGGUAAAAAUUUGUAAGCCGAUGACUGAAACCGGAAACAUGGAUGUUGGAUAGUAAAUACUAAAUGGUGAAAAAAUUUAUUAAUUGUAAUUUUUGAAUAAACAAAAUGGAACAUGAUAUUUUGUGGUGAUUUAUUUCUCAGUAAACAUAUUUUUCAUAAGCAGCUCCUGAAAUUUCCACCAUACGAAAGCAUCUUAAAUAAGGGGUAAUUUUCAUCCGGUAUGAGCCUUUGAAAUAAGGGGUAAUUUUGACCCGCUACAAGCGUUAUGAGGCUGGGUACCCCUUAAAGGGUACAGCAACUUUAUCCUUAAAAAGGAGUUCUCCCAGUCUUAUUGAAUAACGGGUCAAAAGUAUUCGUUAAGGGGUAGCCAAAAGUUAGCGUGCGCGCGCGCAACAAAACAAAAUAACUGCUUGCGGCAGUGGUGCCAGGUUAAGUGUUUUAUCAAUAUUUGUACAGAUAUAAAUUAGAAUGCAAAAUUUAAAUGUAAUCUUUUUAGAUGAGUAGGAUUAUUUUAUAUUUGUUAGUUAAAGUUUAUAAUGUUAUGGACAUAUAACAAGCUAUAAAUUCAAUUAUGAAUGAAUCAAUUCAAAUCAAAAUUAAAAAACGAGAAUUGUAUACGCAAUGUGAACGCAAAUUCAAUGUUUCUAUGUCGCUUGCAUCUAUGCUAAAUGACAUAGGAUACAAAGUUCUCGCAAAUAUCUUUAAAAAAACGCUUGCUGUCGAUAACAGC